RNAcentral lists this ribosomal RNA (262 nucleotides) under Ditylum brightwellii. Its description in RNAcentral is "partial Bacterial large subunit ribosomal RNA". It matches the Rfam family "Bacterial large subunit ribosomal RNA", at positions 314 to 581 of the family's 2925-position model. Lineage: Eukaryota; Bacillariophyta; Thalassiosirophyceae; Lithodesmiales; Lithodesmiaceae. The record is from RNAcentral.
UAAGUGGCUUUGAGAUCAGCGGAACGCUCUGGAAAGUGCGGCCAUAGUGGGUGAUAGCCCUGUACGCGAAAAUCUCUUAGUCAUGAAAUCGAGUAGGACGGAGCACGAGAAACUUUGUCUGAAUAUGGGGGGACCAUCCUCCAAGGCUAAAUACUACUGACUGACCGAUAGUGAACUAGUACCGUGAGGGAAAGGCGAAAAGAACCCCGGAGAGGGGAGUGAAAUAGAUCCUGAAACCGUAUGCGUACAAGCAGUGGGAGCC